This 433-nucleotide ribosomal RNA is filed under the name uncultured bacterium. Its description in RNAcentral is "partial 16S ribosomal RNA". It matches the Rfam family "Bacterial small subunit ribosomal RNA", at positions 28 to 507 of the family's 1533-position model. The record is from RNAcentral.
GACGAACGCUGGCGGCAGGCCUAACACAUGCAAGUCGAGCGGACCUUUCGGGGUCAGCGGCGGACGGGUGAGUAAUGCGUGGGAAUAUGCCCUUCUCUACGGAAUAGUCCUGGGAAACUGGGGGUAAUACCGUAUACGCCCUUUGGGGGAAAGAUUUAUCGGGGAAGGAUUAGCCCGCGUUGGAUUAGGUAGUUGGUGGGGUAAUGGCCUACCAAGCCGACGAUCCAUAGCUGGUUUGAGAGGAUGAUCAGCCACACUGGGACUGAGACACGGCCCAGACUCCUACGGGAGGCAGCAGUGGGGAAUCUUAGACAAUGGGGGCAACCCUGAUCUAGCCAUGCCGCGUGAGUGAUGAAGGCCUUAGGGUUGUAAAGCUCUUUCAGCUGGGAAGAUAAUGACGGUACCAGCAGAAGAAGCCCCGGCUAACUCCGUG